UACAGAGGUCUCAAGCGUUGUUCGGAUUCAUUGGGCGUAAAGGGUGUGUAGGUGGCGCCGUAAGUCGGGUGUGAAAUUCCGGAGCUUAACUCCGAAACUGCAUUCGAUACUGCGGUGCUUGAGGACUGGAGAGGAGACUGGAAUUUACGGUGUAGCAGUGAAAUGCGUAGAUAUCGUAAGGAAGACCAGUGGCGAAGGCGGGUCUCUGGACAGUUCCUGACACUGAGGAGCGAAAGCGUGGGGAGCGAACAGG
This 253-nucleotide ribosomal RNA is filed under the name uncultured bacterium. Its description in RNAcentral is "partial 16S ribosomal RNA". It matches the Rfam family "Bacterial small subunit ribosomal RNA", at positions 524 to 776 of the family's 1533-position model. The record is from RNAcentral.